UGAUCCACGUAUGUGUGAGUGAGGAACAAUAUGCUUGUUAUCUGAUGCUACUGAGAUUUGGGGGAUGUUUAUUAGCCAGCAGUAGCUGACUAGUAGAUCUAUUAUAUUCAUGUCAUCUAUUGCUUCCACCCAAAAUCAUUCUCGACAAAUAAAAGGUAACAUAGGAAGAGCACUUGGUACCCAUGAAGUGCUCAAUAAGUACCCAUGGCUUUCUUUUCCGUCUUCCACACAGUAUCAUUUCUGCAAAAGGAAGACAUUUCCUUGACUGCUCUGUGGCUCUUUUUUUAAUGGGUUUUCAUACCAAAUUCAACGAUUCCCAUUAUGCCUAUUAUUCCAGACACAAAGAAACAGAUUAGAGUGAGUCCUUAGCAACAGGACUGUGAAGUUACAAUUCAAAGAACUUAGAUUUCUGAUAUCAUAUUAAUAGCUAUAACCAAAAGAUUUUUUUUUAUGGGAAACGUCAAAAUACUGCCAUUGUUCGGUCUCAAGAAGCAGGGACUUAAAUCAGCCUGUGACGUUCCCCUUUGAUUUUUUUUUUAAUUUUUUUUUUAGUUGUAGAUGAACACAAUCUCUUUAUUUUUGUAUUUAUUUUUAUGCAGUGCUGAGGCUCAAACCCAGUGCCUCACACGUGGGAGGCAAGUGUUUUACCAGCGAGAGCCCCAGCCCCUGACAUUUUAUUUUUAUUUUACGUUAUUUAUUUGUGUGUGUGUGUGUGUGUGAACCUUUUCUCUGUUUCUGAGGCUGCCGUAUAAGGCACCUGCCUUGUGACGGUCACUUGCUGCUGGCCAAUGCUCGGACCAAACUGCAAAGAUUGCUUUCCUAGCAGAUGCGGAUCCUACCCAGUGACUGCCUGGACCUCCCUGAAGGACCGAGAGCUGAGUGCACGUGAGUUCAGGGCCCUGUCCUGCUGAGUGCACGUGAGUUCAGGGCCCUGUCCUUGGACAGCUGUCUUUCGGGAGGUUGGGGAAUAGAGCUGAUUUUGUGUGUGUGUGUGUGUGUCCGUGUGUGUGUGUGCGUGCGACAGAAUAAUAAUUUAUAGUAUUUAUUGAUUUGUGCGAUUUUUUUAAUUUAAAAAGAUUUUACAUUAAUGCUAAGUCCCAAAACAAAAAUCAGAGUUUCUUGGUAAAUUUUUAAAAAUGGAAGCCGUACAGGCCUAGCCAACUGUAAUUUUUUUUUUAAUUUUUUAAUUCUAAUUUUAACAGUGGAAGCUGAGCUGCUCAGUCAAGGGCAGGCGGCCAUCUCAACGUGCAGCUGGUGUGUGUGGCCCAAGGAAUAGCCGCGUCAGCAUCACUCUGGAGCCAGAUAGCUAGCCGUGUGGCUUUAGAAAACAGUAGGGCCACUCCUCCCUGUUACCCGGCAGUUCCAAUUCUGGGUUUAUUCCCAAGGGAAGUGGGAGGGGGGCGGGGGACUCCAAGGGAUAUUGUACACCCGUGUUUGUGGCAGCCCUGGUCACAAUAGCCAAAAGGUACUCUGGGCAUGUGACGCACACUGGCUAAUCAGUAAUCAACGGAUGAACACAGACAAACAAAGUGCAGCUUAUCCGUAUGGAAUACUAUUCAGCUCUCACAGGAAGGAAAUUCUGCCAGCAGUGAUGGUGCACGCCUGUAAUCCCAGCGACCCCGGAGGCUGAGACAGGAGGAUCACAAGUUGGAGGCCAGCCUCAGCAAUUUAGCAAGAUCCUCAGAUUUAGUGAGAUCCAGUCUCUCUCUCUGGGCUAAGGAAAUCACCUUGUUAGCAGUAAGGUUCAGUAACUAUAAAUGCACCACCUCUCCAGUUGACCACACUUACCCCUCUGCCUUCUGUUUUAAUCCUGCAUUAUUAGACUUUUUUUCUUGGUUAGAAAAGCUUUUAAAUAAUAUUUCAGGGAUCCAUGCUGUAGCUCAGUGGUAUCAUCAUUCUGCCAAACGGGCUCCGUACUUUUUUCAAGGACCAACUUGAUUUUUACAAUGAAACCAGCUAUUUUUCCUUUUUACCCCUCUCUGCCUUCCUGAAGGUAAAUACUGUCUGCCGACGAGGAGACCGAUGGAUAGUAAAGGACCCUGAGUUUUCCGAGGCCAGCAGGGUCGUCUCUUACUCCCGUCAAACCCUGAGUUGGAUCCACACCUGAGUUUAUGCUAAUGAGGUGUCUUAGGGUGGGGCUCCUAGGUAGCUCGAGGGUGGGACCGGCUACCUGAAAGAACACAGAUGAUUGGCUGGUGAGAAGUUUCAGCCCCACCCACCAACUUCGGGAGGGGCGAGGGACUGGAGGUGGAGCUCUGAAAACGGAGGACGGGUGCCCAGGGAGGUCCCUGAAGCUCCCACCACCACCGUGUGCGCCCUGCCCUACUUCUCUCUUCCGCCUGGCAGUUCCUGGGUUAUAGCCUAUAUAAUAAAACGGCAGGCUUGAGUGGAGGCUGAGCUUUUGCGAACCAUUCUAACUAGUUAUCAGACUUGGAGAGGGUCGUGGGAACCCCCGAAUUUACAGCCAUCAGUCAGGAGUCAGGGUGGCCUGGGCCUGUGGCUGGCCUCUGAAUUGGGGUGGUCUGUGGGACUGAGCCCCUUUCCUGUGUGGGAUCUGGUGCCAACCCCGGGUGGUGGGAGCACGGGGUUGAGCUGUGCCCUGCUCUGGGUCCCUCAGGGUCGUGAUGGUCAGCAGUUUCCUGCUGGGCCCAGCCCCGGGUCACUCCGUUUCAUAAGGCAGCAGUCUGCCCUGAGCUAGGGUAUUUUAAGUGCAAGUUCUAAGACAGGGGACUUGGUAACUUGUCCAGGAGAGUAGACACCACCUGAUGUUGGACAUCAGAACUCAUCAAAAAAGAACAGACCCCAGGGGCACAGCAGGAUCCUAAGGCACAGGCUGAUAAUAAUGUAAUUGCCACCUGUGCACAUAUCAAAUUGAAUAAAUCCCAAGUGCAAGGGCACUUGGGCAUAUCAGAUCAUACCAGGGAUACCAGAGAUGCAAACUCAUCAAACACCUAUGAAACCCCUCACCUAAGACUCAUAAAAAGAAGAGGCAUCUCAGUCUGCAGUGUGACAAGCUGACCUGUCCCCUGGUCACUGGGGGGGGGACACCUUGCCCAGGAGAU
This 3062-nucleotide long non-coding RNA is filed under the name Marmota monax (woodchuck). Lineage: Eukaryota; Metazoa; Chordata; Mammalia; Rodentia; Sciuridae. The record is from RNAcentral.